Molecule: ribosomal RNA, 377 nt
Filed under: uncultured eukaryote
Lineage: Eukaryota
Description: partial 18S ribosomal RNA
Rfam family: Eukaryotic small subunit ribosomal RNA
Source: RNAcentral
CUAUAGCGUAUAUUUAAGUUGCUGCAGUUAAAAAGCUCGUAGUUGGAUUUCGGGUGGGAAUGGCCGGUCCGCCGUUUCGGUGUGCACUUGCUACGCCCACCUUGCUGCCGGGGACGUGCUCUUGAGUUCACGCUCGGGACACGGAGUCGGCGAGGUUACUUUGAGUAAAUUAGAGUGUUCAAAGCAGGCCUACGCUCUGAAUACAUUAGCAUGGAAUAACACGAUAGGACUCUGGCCUAUCUUGUUGGUCUGUAGGACCGGAGUAAUGAUUAAGAGGGACAGUCGGGGGCAUUCGUAUUUCAUUGUCAGAGGUGAAAUUCUUGGAUUUAUGAAAGACGAACUACUGCGAAAGCAUUUGCCAAGGAUGUUUUCAUUAA